RNAcentral lists this ribosomal RNA (405 nucleotides) under Triticum aestivum (bread wheat). RNAcentral describes it as "partial small subunit ribosomal RNA". Lineage: Eukaryota; Viridiplantae; Streptophyta; Magnoliopsida; Poales; Poaceae. The record is from RNAcentral.
AUGGACGUAGCUCUUGCUACAAUUGUAAGUUGUAAUCCUAAAUUAAACUUGAUGGUGCUGAAAUUGGAAAUAAAUUCUGGACGGUGCAUGUCGAUAUGGCACUUGAGAAAACUGACAAUUUGGUACGGAGUCGCAAAAACUGCAAUACUCUCGGUAAUGCUGGAAAAACAAAGAUUGCAUGGCCUUCAAAGUUUGUACGUGACUAAUCUUGCCUUUGUUAGUACUUGCAUGAUGUCAAUGCAUUGCGUGUUAACAAUUCAUUUUAUUUUCUUGUUUGUAGAUUCAAAAGAUAAAUGGAUGAGUAUAUGGGUGUGUGGCAACUCAACUGCAAAGAAAGAUGUCGAUGGUCCGUUUCAUGAUGAUGAUGAUGAUGGAUGGAUGCUAUCAGUUUUAGUUAUAUCGUAG